AGCUCAGUAACACGUGGCCAAACUACCCUUCGGAGCACAAUACCCUCGGGAAACUGAGGCUAAUAGUGCAUACCACAGUCCAGCUGGAAUGAGGACUGUGCCAAACGCUCCGGCGCCGAAGGAUGUGGCUGCGGCCGAUUAGGUAGACGGUGGGGUAACGGCCCACCGUGCCAAUAAUCGGUACGGGUCAUGAGAGUGAGAACCCGGAGACGGAAUCUGAGACAAGAUUCCGGGCCCUACGGGGCGCAGCAGGCGCGAAACCUUUACACUGCACGCCAGUGCGAUAAGGGAAUCCCAAGUGCGCAGGCAUAGAGCCUGCGCUUUUGUACACCGUAGGGAGGUGUACGAAUAAGGGCUGGGCAAGACCGGUGCCAGCCGCCGCGGUAAUACCGGCAGCCCGAGUGAUGGCCGAUCUUAUUGGGCCUAAAGCGUCCGUAGCUGGCCGCACAAGUCCAUCGGAAAAUCCACCCGCCCAACGGGUGGGCGUCCGGUGGAAACUGUGUGGCUUGGGACCGGAAGGCGCGACGGGUACGUCCGGGGUAGGAGUGAAAUCCCGUAAUCCUGGACGGACCGCCGAUGGCGAAAGCACGUCGCGAGGACGGAUCCGACAGUGAGGGACGAAAGCCAGGGUCUCGAACCGGAUUAGAUACCCGGGUAGUCCUGGCCGUAAACAAUGUCUGUUAGGUGUGGCUCCCACUACGAGUGGGUGCUGUGCCGUAGGGAAGCCGCUAAACAGA
Molecule: ribosomal RNA, 737 nt
Filed under: Halorubrum sp.
Lineage: Archaea; Methanobacteriati; Methanobacteriota; Halobacteria; Halobacteriales; Haloferacaceae
Description: bacterial SSU rRNA
Rfam family: Archaeal small subunit ribosomal RNA
Source: RNAcentral